Molecule: ribosomal RNA, 468 nt
Filed under: uncultured bacterium
Lineage: Bacteria
Description: partial 16S ribosomal RNA
Rfam family: Bacterial small subunit ribosomal RNA
Source: RNAcentral
GACGAACGCUGGCGGCGUGCUUAACACAUGCAAGUCGAACGGCAACGCCCUGCUUUUGUGGGGUGCUCGAGUGGCGAACGGGUGAGUAACACGUGAGUAACCUGCCCUUGACUUUGGGAUAACUUCAGGAAACUGGGGCUAAUACCGGAUAGGAGCUCAUGCUGCAUGGUGGGGGUUGGAUCGUUUCGGCGGGUGGGGAUGGACUCGCGGCUUAUCAGCUUGUUGGUGGGGUAGUGGCUUACCAAGGCUUUGACGGGUCGCCGGCCUGAGAGGGUGACCGGCCACAAUGGGACUGAGAUACGGCGCAGAGUCCUACGGGAGGCAGCAGGGGGGAAUAUUGUACAAUGGGAGGAAGCCUGAUGCAGCAACGCCGCGUUCGGGAUGACGGCCUGCGGGUUGUAAACCGCAUUCGCCUGUGACGAAGCGGGAGUGACGGUAAUGGGUAAAGAAGCACCGGCUAACUACGUG